AUAACAUAAAAUAUAGAAUGACAGCCUAGGCUAAAGUCAACAAUUUUAAACUGGAAAGAAUAAAGGUAAGUCUAUCUUGUAGGUGUUCAUGUUACAGAAUCUCGAUCUCCACUAGGGGUGAACGGAGUAAUUCAGGAGACAUCCCAGACUUGGCUUGUGGACGGUGACGACUGUGCCUCAGGUAAGCUCAAUUCCUGCAUCAACUUCGCG
Molecule: non-coding RNA, 210 nt
Organism: Pelobates cultripes (western spadefoot toad)
Lineage: Eukaryota; Metazoa; Chordata; Amphibia; Anura; Pelobatidae
Source: the annotation of a GenBank genome assembly